UUAAGCGACUAAGCGUACACGGUGGAUGCCCUGGCAGUCAGAGGCGAUGAAGGACGUGCUAAUCUGCGAUAAGCGUCGGUAAGGUGAUAUGAACCGUUAUAACCGGCGAUUUCCGAAUGGGGAAACCCAGUGUGUUUCGACACACUAUCAUUAACUGAAUCCAUAGGUUAAUGAGGCGAACCGGGGGAACUGAAACAUCUAAGUACCCCGAGGAAAAGAAAUCAACCGAGAUUCCCCCAGUAGCGGCGAGCGAACGGGGAGCAGCCCAGAGCCUGAAUCAGUGUGUGUGUUAGUGGAAGCGUCUGGAAAGGCGCGCGAUACAGGGUGACAGCCCCGUACACAAAAAUGCACAUGCUGUGAGCUCGAUGAGUAGGGCGGGACACGUGGUAUCCUGUCUGAAUAUGGGGGGACCAUCCUCCAAGGCUAAAUACUCCUGACUGACCGAUAGUGAACCAGUACCGUGAGGGAAAGGCGAAAAGAACCCCGGCGAGGGGAGUGAAAAAGAACCUGAAACCGUGUACGUACAAGCAGUGGGAGCCUCUUUAUGGGGUGACUGCGUACCUUUUGUAUAAUGGGUCAGCGACUUAUAUUCUGUAGCAAGGUUAACCGAAUAGGGGAGCCGAAGGGAAACCGAGUCUUAACUGGGCGUUAAGUUGCAGGGUAUAGACCCGAAACCCGGUGAUCUAGCCAUGGGCAGGUUGAAGGUUGGGUAACACUAACUGGAGGACCGAACCGACUAAUGUUGAAAAAUUAGCGGAUGACUUGUGGCUGGGGGUGAAAGGCCAAUCAAACCGGGAGAUAGCUGGUUCUCCCCGAAAGCUAUUUAGGUAGCGCCUCGUGAAUUCAUCUCCGGGGGUAGAGCACUGUUUCGGCAAGGGGGUCAUCCCGACUUACCAACCCGAUGCAAACUGCGAAUACCGGAGAAUGUUAUCACGGGAGACACACGGCGGGUGCUAACGUCCGUCGUGAAGAGGGAAACAACCCAGACCGCCAGCUAAGGUCCCAAAGUCAUGGUUAAGUGGGAAACGAUGUGGGAAGGCCCAGACAGCCAGGAUGUUGGCUUAGAAGCAGCCAUCAUUUAAAGAAAGCGUAAUAGCUCACUGGUCGAGUCGGCCUGCGCGGAAGAUGUAACGGGGCUAAACCAUGCACCGAAGCUGCGGCAGCGACGCUUAUGCGUUGUUGGGUAGGGGAGCGUUCUGUAAGCCUGUGAAGGUGUGCUGUGAGGCAUGCUGGAGGUAUCAGAAGUGCGAAUGCUGACAUAAGUAACGAUAAAGCGGGUGAAAAGCCCGCUCGCCGGAAGACCAAGGGUUCCUGUCCAACGUUAAUCGGGGCAGGGUGAGUCGACCCCUAAGGCGAGGCCGAAAGGCGUAGUCGAUGGGAAACAGGUUAAUAUUCCUGUACUUGGUGUUACUGCGAAGGGGGGACGGAGAAGGCUAUGUUGGCCGGGCGACGGUUGUCCCGGUUUAAGCGUGUAGGCUGGUUUUCCAGGCAAAUCCGGAAAAUCAAGGCUGAGGCGUGAUGACGAGGCACUACGGUGCUGAAGCAACAAAUGCCCUGCUUCCAGGAAAAGCCUCUAAGCAUCAGGUAACAUCAAAUCGUACCCCAAACCGACACAGGUGGUCAGGUAGAGAAUACCAAGGCGCUUGAGAGAACUCGGGUGAAGGAACUAGGCAAAAUGGUGCCGUAACUUCGGGAGAAGGCACGCUGAUAUGUAGGUGAGGUCCCUCGCGGAUGGAGCUGAAAUCAGUCGAAGAUACCAGCUGGCUGCAACUGUUUAUUAAAAACACAGCACUGUGCAAACACGAAAGUGGACGUAUACGGUGUGACGCCUGCCCGGUGCCGGAAGGUUAAUUGAUGGGGUUAGCGGUAACGCGAAGCUCUUGAUCGAAGCCCCGGUAAACGGCGGCCGUAACUAUAACGGUCCUAAGGUAGCGAAAUUCCUUGUCGGGUAAGUUCCGACCUGCACGAAUGGCGUAAUGAUGGCCAGGCUGUCUCCACCCGAGACUCAGUGAAAUUGAACUCGCUGUGAAGAUGCAGUGUACCCGCGGCAAGACGGAAAGACCCCGUGAACCUUUACUAUAGCUUGACACUGAACAUUGAGCCUUGAUGUGUAGGAUAGGUGGGAGGCUUUGAAGUGUGGACGCCAGUCUGCAUGGAGCCGACCUUGAAAUACCACCCUUUAAUGUUUGAUGUUCUAACGUUGACCCGUAAUCCGGGUUGCGGACAGUGUCUGGUGGGUAGUUUGACUGGGGCGGUCUCCUCCUAAAGAGUAACGGAGGAGCACGAAGGUUGGCUAAUCCUGGUCGGACAUCAGGAGGUUAGUGCAAUGGCAUAAGCCAGCUUGACUGCGAGCGUGACGGCGCGAGCAGGUGCGAAAGCAGGUCAUAGUGAUCCGGUGGUUCUGAAUGGAAGGGCCAUCGCUCAACGGAUAAAAGGUACUCCGGGGAUAACAGGCUGAUACCGCCCAAGAGUUCAUAUCGACGGCGGUGUUUGGCACCUCGAUGUCGGCUCAUCACAUCCUGGGGCUGAAGUAGGUCCCAAGGGUAUGGCUGUUCGCCAUUUAAAGUGGUACGCGAGCUGGGUUUAGAACGUCGUGAGACAGUUCGGUCCCUAUCUGCCGUGGGCGCUGGAGAACUGAGGGGGGCUGCUCCUAGUACGAGAGGACCGGAGUGGACGCAUCACUGGUGUUCGGGUUGUCAUGCCAAUGGCUUGAAGACGACGACGUUGAUAGGCCGGGUGUGUAAGCGCAGCGAUGCGUUGAGCUAACCGGUACUAAUGAACCGUGAGGCUUAACCUU
RNAcentral lists this ribosomal RNA (2797 nucleotides) under Escherichia coli. Its description in RNAcentral is "bacterial LSU rRNA". It matches the Rfam family "Bacterial large subunit ribosomal RNA". Lineage: Bacteria; Pseudomonadati; Pseudomonadota; Gammaproteobacteria; Enterobacterales; Enterobacteriaceae. The record is from RNAcentral.